This is a non-coding RNA of Chrysochloris asiatica (Cape golden mole), 67 nucleotides long. The record is from the annotation of a RefSeq genome assembly. NCBI's taxonomy places the organism in Eukaryota, Metazoa, Chordata, Mammalia, Afrosoricida, Chrysochloridae.
UGAUAAUUAGUUUAAAUUAAAACAAAUGAUUUCGACUCAUUAAAUUAUGCUCAUACAUAAUUAUCAA